GAUGAACGCUGGCGGCGUGCCUAAUACAUGCAAGUCGAGCGAACAGAUGAGGAGCUUGCUCCUCUGACGUUAGCGGCGGACGGGUGAGUAACACGUGGAUAACCUACCUAUAAGACUGGGAUAACUUCGGGAAACCGGAGCUAAUACCGGAGAAUAUAUUGAACCGCAUGGUGCAAUAGUGAAAGACGGUUUUGCUGUCACUUAUAGAUGGAUCCGCGCCGCAUUAGCUAGUUGGUAAGGUAACGGCUUACCAAGGCAACGAUGCGUAGCCGAGCUGAGAGGGUGAUCGGCCACACUGGAACUGAGACACGGUCCAGACUCCUACGGGAGGCAGCAGUAGGGAAUCUUCCGCAAUGGGCGAAAGCCUGACGGAGCCACGCCGCGUGAGUGAUGAAGGUCUUCGGAUCGUAAAACUCUGUUAUUAGGGAAGAACAACUGUGUAAGUAACUAUGCACGUCUUGACGGUACCUAAUCAGAAAGCCACGGCUAACUACGUG
RNAcentral lists this ribosomal RNA (497 nucleotides) under uncultured bacterium. Its description in RNAcentral is "partial 16S ribosomal RNA". It matches the Rfam family "Bacterial small subunit ribosomal RNA", at positions 28 to 507 of the family's 1533-position model. The record is from RNAcentral.